Molecule: non-coding RNA, 82 nt
Organism: Nephila pilipes (giant wood spider)
Lineage: Eukaryota; Metazoa; Arthropoda; Arachnida; Araneae; Nephilidae
Source: the annotation of a GenBank genome assembly
GCAGUCGUGUCCGAAUGGCUUCGGCGAUGAGCUUGAAACCCACUGGAGUUUUUCUGCGUAGGUUCGAAUCCUAUUGGUUGUU